CCCCUAGAUGUUCUGGGCCGCACGCGCGCUACACUGAACAGUUCAACAAGUCUUAACCUUGGCCGAUAGGUCUGGGUAAUCUUUGAACGCUGUUCGUGAUUGGGAUAGACCUUUGCAAUUAUGGGUCUUCAACGAGGAAUUCCUAGUAAACGCAAGACAUCAGCUUGCAUUGAUUACGUCCCUGCCCUUUGUACACACCGCCCGUCGCACCUACCGAUUGAAUGGUCCGGUGAAAUCUCGGGACGGCGGCUUGGUCGCUUGCGUCCGACUGCUGAAACUUGAUUAAACCAUAUCAUUUAGAGGAAGGUGAAGUCGUANCA
Molecule: ribosomal RNA, 320 nt
Filed under: uncultured eukaryote
Lineage: Eukaryota
Description: partial 18S ribosomal RNA
Rfam family: Eukaryotic small subunit ribosomal RNA
Source: RNAcentral